UUGAACGCUGUGAGAAAACACCGAAAAGCCAUGCGAAUGAGGGAUAUCCCAUUGCGAAGAAGCCAUCAUCAUUCACAAUCACGACUGUGAACAAAAUUGAAGGAAGAUGAAGGAUUGUUGAAAGGAAGCUACAGCCAAUGAAGACUCAUUCCUCUAAACAGAACAACGCGGAACCAGCCGUUACUAGCGCCAAAUUCACCAUCCAAAACCAACUCUCACCCAUGCAUGGUAUGUCUUGAUGAUCACCAUCAAUCCGUCGAUAAAAACCAUCAUGAUCCUCUAGAGAAGGAUUUAACUUCGUCCAGCAUCAUCUCAACGUAGGGAGUCUUUCAACCCUAUGCAGAUCAACGAGGAGAAUCACAAAAUUCCCUAGGCAAAUGUGUUCUCUAUUCGAGGGUAUGUUAUUCUUCACAUGAAAGCUCCUAGACAUGAUUUGACGAGAAGUGAUGAAUAAAGUUCCUUAGGGUAUGUUCUUCUUCACAUGAAAGCUCCUAGACAUGAUUUGAUUAUGCAAAGAGGAUGUUUCCUGGGGCAGGUCUUUCUUGACAUGAAAUUUUCAAUGGCAAGACCUAUUAGGAAAGAUGCAUGGGCUUCCUUAAGCAUAUCAUUAUUUUAUAUGAAAUUUCUAUAGAAUGUUCUCAGGCGUAAGAUAACAAGGUGGUACAUAAAAUUUCUAUAGGCAUCUUACAUGAAGGAUGAUGACGUAGGGC
Long non-coding RNA from Macadamia integrifolia, 710 nucleotides. RefSeq lists it as uncharacterized. The record is from RefSeq and is a predicted model, not a curated record. The transcript has 3 exons. Lineage: Eukaryota; Viridiplantae; Streptophyta; Magnoliopsida; Proteales; Proteaceae.